AAUUUUAGUUUUAAAAAUUUAUAAUUGGUAAUUUCAAAAUUCAAGUUUAUAGUUUUAAAUUUUAAAUUUUAAAUUUUAAUAUAAUAUUUUAUAUUUUUUUAAUAUAAAUUUUGUUAUUUAUAUUUUAAAAUUUAAAUUUGAUCUUAAAUUUUAAAUUUUAAAUUUUGAAAUUAAAAAUUUAAGAGUUUAAUUUCAAUUUUUGAAUUUUAAAGAAAGUAUUUUUAGGAUCACCUUGCUUGUUCCACCAGUAAAAUUUAAAUUUUCUAAAUUCAAAAAUUAAAAUUUAUAAUUUUAAAAUUACAAAAUUAAAAAUUUAAAUUUUAAAUUGUUUAAUUUAAAAUUUUAAAUUUUGAUAUUUUAAUUUUUUUAUAUUUAGAAUAUGAUAUUUUGUAUUUUUAAAUUAAAAUUUCAUCUUAAAUUAAAGUUCAAAAUUUAAAAAAUUAAUUUUUUAAAAUUAUAAAUUUGAGAUUUUAAAAUUUUAAAUUUUAAUUUUAAUUUUUAAACUUUAAAAGUUUAUAUUUUAAAUUUUAAAAUAUAAAUAUAAAAUAUAAAAAUUUAAAUUCUAAUAUAAAGAAAAAAAUAAUAUCAUUAUUUUUUAUUUAUAAAUACUCACUUUAAUUCUUAUCCCAUCUUAUCUAACCAAACGCUAUUUUUCUUAUUCUCAGAAAUACUCAAUUUUCAUCCAAACGGAAAAUUCAUUUAAUCCCCGCUUAUACCUCAAUUUAUACCUAUCCCUGGAAUACUCACUUUUUGCUUAUCCUCGAACCAAAUGAUACCUAGGCUUCAUUUGGUCUGGACAUAAGUAAGAAUUAGUUGUUUCAGGGAUAGCUAUAAGAUGAGGUAUAAGGUGGGUAUAGAGUAAUUUUGUAUUUGAUUGAGUAUUGAAUUUAGUUCAGGGUUGUAACAAGUGGAAUAAAAAGAAUAGUGGAUGAUUAUAAAUAGAAAAUAAUGAUAUUGCCAUUUUUAUUAUAUUUGAAUUAAAAUUCUAAAAUUUUAUAUUUAAAGUUUUAAAUUUAAAUAUAUAACUCUUAAAUUUUAAAAAUACAAAUUAAAAUUUGAAUUUAAAAAUUUCAAAUUCGAAAAU
This 1084-nucleotide long non-coding RNA is filed under the name Ananas comosus (pineapple). Its description in RNAcentral is "long non-coding RNA (ACOM_LNC025109)". The record is from RNAcentral. Lineage: Eukaryota; Viridiplantae; Streptophyta; Magnoliopsida; Poales; Bromeliaceae.